CCAGGAAGUGAGGAUCACUGGGGCUUCCCUGAAGGCUGAGGACCGCAGGGAGGUACGGAAUGUUCAUCCUAUGUGGGAUGAACAAAAUAAAAAUGCAGGGCAGGUAGCCUGGGAGCUGCCCUUGCAACCUUUCUGGGCCGUAGCAUGGAGACGUGUAACGUCCAAUUGCAAUCUGUGUUGGUGCCUAACACAUUUUCCAUAGCAGUCUGAGGACAAGUUCAGACCAACAAAGAAGUGAAGGGAAAGCUGCUUUUAUUGUGAAGGAGCUUUGUCCUGAGGAUAAGAAGGACUCCUGUCAUCUAUACUGUAGAGAACCGGUGUCCGGAUGUGCUCUGUGAAAUCUCCAGGAGUUCGUAAAGGAAGCAACGAGCACCAAUCCCAGGCAAACACAGGACCCGAAGAAAGAUGUUUUCUCAUCUGACCAUUUAACACUGAUGCUCUUGCACGCUGUCUCUAAACCUCCAGAUACAUUCCUUUUUAAACGGAGCAGGAACGAAGACUGAACUGGAAAAAAAGUUAUUUGAAUAGUAUUUGAACAUGAAGUUUCACGGGCAGUGUGUGGUUUAUGGAGCUACAGAUGAGGAUCUGAAAACAAAAAGGAACUCAAGGUCAAGUUAUUCAGAAGCAUUUGAAGUUGUUUGGAGAACUGUGAAGAAUUUCACCAGACUAAACACAUUACACGUUUCAAGAUUGAUUCCAAAAGGGCUGCUGAUGGUAGCGUCUGUAUCAAAGGUACUGGUGAACCCUUUGAUAGAAUAAAUCACUGCUUCAGAGCAGCCUUAUAGAUGAGAACCAGCUUUCCCCUCCAGACAGACUGGAUUGAUCUGUGUGUUGAAAAAUGCCCUGCCAUUCCUCUUGCUGUGCUGGAGACAAGUACAUGGAGGGAAUAAAGUCUAGAAGUUAUGUUUGCCAGGACUGAGGCUAACUGUGUGAUAGGUUGAGCACUCCACUUCUCUAUCAUACGUGUUAAUGCCUUAAAAAUUGUUAAAGCACCCUUAGAGUGUUGUAGACUGCUUUCCCAAACCCUUUCUGGUGAUGGUGUCCUGCCUGCUAUAUGAUAGUCAGUGAAAUGUGUCCACAGAAGCGAUGCAGGAGAGCCUCAAGAAAACAGUUUGUUAUCCUCAGAGAUCCUAGAAACAGUGUUUGAGGAGAGCAUAUCAUGCAGCACCACACUGGAAAGCACCAGAGUUGUUUAAGGGGCAGAAGGGACCAGGAGCAAGGGGAAAAUAUCCGCCAGUCUUCAUGUGGUUUCCUGGGAAAGGCAAGGUAGGGCAGGCUAAGCCGCUCAGGAAAGGCUAGUUUGAAUAACUCCAGCAGGCUUUGGGUUGUACCUGUGGUUGCCCUGUCUGACAUGACGAGGGUCCAGGAAUAUUGCCUCCUUGCUCUGGGGUACAUAGAGGGGGUCCUGGGCUGGGCUGGUUCAUCUGCAUAUCAGUGUCCUGCUUCCUGAGUCCUUUGCUAGCUCUAAGAAUUGACUAGUUCCAUCAUGGUUUCUAAGAUGUCAAAAACAUAACAUCUAGAAAACAAAAAGCAUAGAUAAAAUGAUUGAUCUUUACCUAAUUCCUGGCAGAUAGAGAGGAUUUGGAAUCAGAGUUCUGUCCACUACUAAAAUGUAACGAAGUUUCUUGACUUCUUUGCAAAACAGUUUAUCCUCUAUAAAAUUGGGAGAACAAUCUUGAUGUUCGCCGUGAGGACCACUAGGAAUACAUGGGUGAAAAAAUCUCCGUAGGCACCAAAAUUAUGCUAAAGUGGAAAAAAAAAAUCUCAGUACUUUGGUGAUGCCUGGGUUAUAUUUGUGUACUCACAGGUCAAGUAUAGUCUGAAAAUGCUAGUGAUCUGAUAAGUGUUAGAAUGAAUUUGGAGUCAGGGAGAAUGGAAUCUACUCUGAGUUCUAUGUUUUCUGCUCUUGGGUUCUAGUCUUGACAGAACUAAAGUGUGGGAAUUGUGUUGAAUGAUUCCAAAGUUUUUACACUUCUAAAAUUCCAUAAGUCUGUGAAGUCUGCACCAUGCUAUUCUGAACUAUGUUUGCUUUCUAGAGCACCUAUUGGGCCAUGUAUCCCCUUAUACUCCACAGAAGCUUCCAUCCCACAUCUUUGACUUCUGCUUCAUGAAGAGUUUCCCUUGCAGCCUUAUACACCUUUGCUGUGACCUCAGGCGGCCUCUCCCCAGUCCCCAGCCACAGCUGUUUGAGUUUGGGUGGAAAUCUGUCAUGGGAUGGUAGUUAGAAUACAGUAAUGGAUGAUGUUGGACCUGGAAGGUCACCACAUUUGUGUUUGGAGACUGAGGGUACCAUUUCGUGGAAGCCUUGAUGGGUCAUAUGAAAGCAGAGUUAAGCAAGGCAGUCUGGGAGUAGAUUUCCUGAAAGAAGAGGGAGGGGAGGCAAGAAGGGAUCAACAGAUAUGCAAACGCUAGAGAAGCAAGGAAGGAGAUAACGUGGUAAUAGAGAAAUAAAUUUUUUUGGUCAUUCUCUCUUCUGGUUACCUUCAGGCAUGGUUGUUUUUUGUACAGGUCAGUUCUGUGUUUCCUUUUACCUAUGUAAAUUGGAGUGACUUAUACAUUCUUUCCUUUGAGCCUUAGCGUAAAACUCAUGGUAACAUAAACUGGGAAUUGGUAAGGAUUUUGUCUUGUUCCUUCUUGAAGCUUUUGCCUCUGCAUUGUAUCUACCAAGUGGAUGUUUAAGGAAUUUAUACUGAAAUGACAUACAAAUCAUGUAAUUGCAUGUGAAUUGUGUCAUCAAUGGCAUUUAUACAAAAAAGGUUAAUUAUAAUGCAUUAUAUGUUUCAAGGAAUGUUUGCUUGGGACCUCUCAAUUGGUCCACAAGUAAUUUUGAGAGCUGCUUCUCUGUGUCUCUGGGACCCACAUAAGAUUUAGCUCAUCAUAGGCUUUACUUUAAAACAUUCCUGAACUGGACAGCCUAGGGUUGUUUUAUAUACUGUGGAGAUAUAAAAAGCAAUAUAAUUUAUAGUUGCUGUAUAUAACCAGUUUGCAGUAUGGUUGGGAAGCUGCAUGAGAAAGACAAAGAAGAGGAGGAGAAUAAGAAGGAGAAGAAGAAGGAGGAGAAGGAAGAGGAAGAAGAAGGAGGAGGAGAAGGAGGAGAAGAAGAAAGAAGAAGAAGAAGAAGAAGAAGAAGAAGAAGAAGAAGAAG
RNAcentral lists this long non-coding RNA (3145 nucleotides) under Chinchilla lanigera (long-tailed chinchilla). RNAcentral's name for it is "lncRNA (ENSCLAG00000023734.1)". Lineage: Eukaryota; Metazoa; Chordata; Mammalia; Rodentia; Chinchillidae. The record is from RNAcentral.